GACGAAGGGGGCUAGCGUUGUUCGGAAUUACUGGGCGUAAAGCGCGUGUAGGCGGUUAUCCAAGUCGGGUGUGAAAGCCUUGAGCUCAACUCAAGAAAUGCAUUCGGUACUGGGUGACUAGAGGACCGGAGAGGAUAGUGGAAUUCCCAGUGUAGUGGUGAAAUACGUAGAGAUUGGGAAGAACACCAGUGGCGAAGGCGGCCUUCUGGACGGUGACUGACGCUGAGACGCGAAAGCGUGGGGAGCAAACAGG
Molecule: ribosomal RNA, 253 nt
Filed under: uncultured bacterium
Lineage: Bacteria
Description: partial 16S ribosomal RNA
Rfam family: Bacterial small subunit ribosomal RNA
Source: RNAcentral